GAUGAACGCUGGCGGCGUGCCUAAUACAUGCCAGUCGAGCGAACAGACGAGGAGCUUGCUCCUCUGACGUUAGCGGCGGACGGGUGAGUAACACGUGGAUAACCUACCUAUAAGACUGGGAUAACUUCGGGAAACCGGAGCUAAUACCGGAUAAUAUAUUGAACCGCAUGGUUCAAUAGUGAAAGACGGUUUUGCUGUCACUUAUAGAUGGAUCCGCGCCGCAUUAGCUAGUUGGUAAGGUAACGACUUACCAAGGCGACGAUGCGUAGCCGACCUGAGAGGGUGAUCGGCCACACUGGAACUGAGACACGGUCCAGACUCCUACGGGAGGCAGCAGUAGGGAAUCUUCCGCAAUGGGCGAAAGCCUGACGGAGCAACGCCGCGUGAGUGAUGAAGGUCUUCGGAUCGUAAAACUCUGUUAUUAGGGAAGAACAAAUGUGUAAGUAACUAUGCACGUCUUGACGGUACCUAAUCAGAAAGCCACGGCUAACUACGUG
RNAcentral lists this ribosomal RNA (497 nucleotides) under uncultured bacterium. RNAcentral's name for it is "partial 16S ribosomal RNA". It matches the Rfam family "Bacterial small subunit ribosomal RNA", at positions 28 to 507 of the family's 1533-position model. The record is from RNAcentral.